RNAcentral lists this long non-coding RNA (281 nucleotides) under Elaeis guineensis (African oil palm). Its description in RNAcentral is "long non-coding RNA (EGUI_LNC019599)". Lineage: Eukaryota; Viridiplantae; Streptophyta; Magnoliopsida; Arecales; Arecaceae. The record is from RNAcentral.
GCCCGAUGAUAUAGGCAAUCUUAGAUUAUGAAUUGAUUCAUUCCAAUUCUCAUAUAGCGCACUAUGCCAGUUUGUUUAAGCAUUUGCGGACUCCCCAUAAAACCAAGGCAUUAGAAUUCAUAAACCAUAGCCACCAUUAGGGGUGCAUAUAAUUUGAAUUAAGCCAAACUUUUGGGGUGUUGACUUGGCUUAUUGGUAUCAACUGUCAAGGUGGUGUUCACUUCAAGGUACGUUAGAGCGUGCCGUAGCUACAUAUUUUGGUUAACCCAUUAGCCUACACU